UUGGAAGCUAAGUCCUGAGCCUCUGUACAUCUUGGAUGGUGAUUACUGUGGCAUCCUGGCUGCUGCAGAUGCAAGCCAAGCAGUCCUGGUCACACUUGGGGAGUACCAGACCCCUUAAACAAAAUGAGUGGCAAGGCUUCAUUCAGCGUCUCUGGCUGUUGGAAGAGACAGAAGAACCAGGGUUUCUUGGCUUCCUAUCCCAGGUGCUACCAUACUGCCCAUAACUAGAGUUCUAGACCUUCUGUAUGGGAUUUUGUAUGUCUAUGAGGUCUCUGAGGCUAUGAGACUUGAUAAGGCACACCAUGCUGCUGGUAGGGCCUGUUUGAUAGUCUGUGCCUGUAACUCCUAGCACGGCCAGAUAAACCAAACUAAAGGUCCUGCAUUCCACUAGAACAAAGUAUCAUUCAGGAUGGAUUUUGGUAGUGUUACCUGAAUGAGACUUAAUGAAACUUUCUUUCCUAAUUGAUACAGAUUUGAUUGAUCGUUUGUGUUGUAGCUCUACAGCCGAUGGGGAAAGGUGACCUGAUACCCACUCCCACCCACACCAACAAGCUUACUGCAGAAAUGAGAUGGAGCAAUGACAAGAGGAAGAUAAAAGAAGCCAACCAAAUGAGCCUCAGAGGCCCACAACAUCCAAAUUGCAAGGGCCAUGGUGAGGCUGCCAACAGGGGACAAAGCAGAGAUGUUCAGAGCUAAGUUCCUGUUCUUGUUGAAGCUCUAUGGUAUUGAGAGCUGCGUGUGGGUUCAGCUACAUUAUGAAAAUAAAGCCAGCUGGGAAAUCUAGGGCUCUAGCUACAAACUUCCCCAGAACAAAGAAUUGUUCAGCUCAUAAAGUAUGGCCAGCACUCAUGAUUUUAUAGCCUAUCUCAUUUGCUUUGCUUCUUAAGAUGCCAGUUCUUGAAGCCAGGUGAUUAUGACAAGGUUUCAUCUUCAAUUUAAAACACAAAGUUUCUGGACCUCAUGGUUGCAGGAAACAAAUGAAAUGCACAGUGCCCAAAGCCUCACAUUUGAUUAGGCCAGUACAAGAGAUCAUACUUUAAACAAACUCACCAUUGUUGAGUAUUUAGAGUUGGUCACGAUAUAAAGAUAAGAGGGAGCUUGGAAAUUCAGAGACCUACCCACAUUUUUUUCUGUAGUUCAAGGCUACUAGUAUCCAGAGCUAUCAUCUGAGUCUUAUUUUAUAUAAACUUUUGUCAGUAGAUCAAAUAGAAGUAAGGAGCAAAAUGCAGAAGUUCCUGGGUGAUGUUUCAUGGCCUCUAUUAUGCAGCAGGUCACUCUGGAGGAUCAGAACAUUCUUUAAAACAUGACUUUAAAAAUCCACGAAUCAAUAAACCUGCACUUGUGAGUUCUCUAUUACCCA
Gavialis gangeticus (Gharial) is the source of this 1360-nucleotide long non-coding RNA. RefSeq lists it as uncharacterized. The transcript is spliced from 2 exons. Lineage: Eukaryota; Metazoa; Chordata; Crocodylia; Gavialidae. The record is from RefSeq and is a predicted model, not a curated record.